Molecule: long non-coding RNA, 2016 nt
Organism: Arvicola amphibius (Eurasian water vole)
Lineage: Eukaryota; Metazoa; Chordata; Mammalia; Rodentia; Cricetidae
Exons: 4
Source: RefSeq, a predicted model, not a curated record
GGUUCUCUGCUCUUCGCUGGAACCUUGGCUCUUGCCCUAGAAACCCAAGGAGGGCCUGGACUGUUGCUGGGUGAAUAGGAACUGGCACAGGAAGAUGACUCAGAGAGUGGCACACUGAGCCCUGAGUGGGUGGUCAGAGGGCAGGAACCUAAGGCCAGGCCCUGAUGCUGGCAAGCUGUGCCAUCUUGUCUAAACACGGAAGCUCUUUGUCCCUCCAUUGCCUUACAUGCCAACGGUAAAGAUGCAACGGACUGAAAAGCCGUUCUACAAGGGAAAACUAACACUGUUUUUAAAACCAUGAUUGGGUAGAAGAUCAGCCCUUGCUGGGCACAUGCCCGGCAGAAAUCAAGAGGGGAGGAGUGGCAACCGUUCUGAAGAGCACGGCUGAAGUGGACACAGGCUGAGUGUGGGUGCCCAGCACCGUGAUGGCCUGAGAGUGUCUGGAGAGCUGGAGCUGGCCCGUGGCCCCACUGAAGCCUAGUUAAGUGAUACAGACUUGCUUGGCCUAGAGCAAGGGUGGUACCCUGUGUUUGUCCUUAGAAAGGUUCAGAGUCCGGGAGCAAGCAGGCGUCCGUCCACACUGGCUAUUUUCCUGCCUGCGUCCCUCUGUAGUGUUUGAACAGAUAGAACUGUGUUGCUGGGGGUUUGCAACAACAUGAAACCAGAAAUAUACAGGUCUGUCAUGGCCUCAGCGGGGACCUUUAAGAAGCCCAGAACCCCCAAGCUUCCCCAGGCUUCCCUACCCAGUGUAUUCUUAGCUACGCAGACAGAGGAGCCUGUUCACGUUGCUGCCAACUUUCCCUGACUGGAAUGAGAAGCCAGGUCAUCUGGUCUCAGAAGCACUGCUUCUGCCACUACACACCACAGCCUUCCUGUUGGCCUCUGAUGGCACUGCUGCCAGGAGAGUGACAAGAAGAAGGAACAAGGAACCGAGGGUGGUGGCGUGAGGUGACGUGGCUUUCCAUGUCACCAGGUCAGAAGACCUGGUGUUGAAUCCUGAUUUCCUCACCCGGCUGUGUGUCUCAGGUACUGCCUCUCAGAACCUCCUGUCAUAGAAACCUGACGGAGACCACUAUGCUCCUCAGACAUAGCUAUAUCUGUGGAGCUCAAAACAUCAUCAUCUAGGUCUCGGAUUCCCUGCCUGAGGGAAGGGAAGGAUUAGGUGCCUGGCUCUGAGUCACCGCGCCACUGACGUCCUCCACCCUAGUUUGCUCUCACACACAAUUGACUCUUGCGUGUGGGUACUGUGAUUGUUCCCAUUUUCCACAGCAGGAUAUUGGGUUUCAGAAAGGUGAAGUAACUCACUCCUAGUUACUCAACUGGAAAGCAGAGAAGCUAAGAUUCAAAUCCAGGCCUGUGUGGCCACAGAGUCUGAGCUUUGAGCUGCAAAUCCCAUGACACUGGACCUUUCCGGUAAAUGGAAGGCUGUCGUCACAUAGGUCUCUCCAACAAUGCAACACAAGCUAAUGAGAAAAUCAGCUCAAAUUAAGUUCAUAUCAUAGCUGCUUUAAUGGCACCUGGAUCCUGUUGCUCCAAAGACUGGAAGAUGACAGUUGGAUAGAGCAUGCUCAGGAAUGAGAUCAAACUUAGGACAAUGACCUGCAGGGUGAAGAACCUUGGAUAAUACACUCGGAAGGAACAAGUCAAGUCACAGUCCACAUCCAGGCCUGACUUCGUCCUGCUGCUCCUCGCUCUUCCCCAGGCUGAUUCAUUCUCCUCCACCGAGCCUUGCCUGCUGCACACAUCCUGCUCAGCAAUCCUGCUGAAGCAGUCCCCUCUGCAGUUACCCUCUGUCAGCACCCUUCCUUACACACAUGCAAUGACCACACGCAUGUGAUAAGAACAGUCUGUAAUCUGCUCUGUUUCCUCAAAUGAAGCCUUCAGGUGUUUUCCUGUCCCUUGUGCUGUUGCUGCUGUCUUUCUUCUGAGUCCUUGGUACCUACCAUGAUACCUGGCUCACAGUGAAUGGCUAAUAAAUAGUUAUUGGGCGAAUAAAUGAGCAGAUGCCUAACUUCA